This 301-nucleotide ribosomal RNA is filed under the name uncultured bacterium. RNAcentral describes it as "partial 16S ribosomal RNA". It matches the Rfam family "Bacterial small subunit ribosomal RNA", at positions 509 to 808 of the family's 1533-position model. The record is from RNAcentral.
CAGCGCCACGGUAAUACAGAGGGUGCAAGCGUUAAUCGGAAUUACUGGGCGUAAAGCGCGCGUAGGUGGUUCGCCAAGUUGGAUGUGAAAUCCCCGGGCUCAACCUGGGAACUGCAUCCAAAACUGGCGAGCUAGAGUAUGGUAGAGGGUGGUGGAAUUUCCUGUGUAGCGGUGAAAUGCGUAGAUAUAGGAAGGAACAUCAGUGGCGAAGGCGACCACCUGGACUGAUACUGACACUGAGGUGCGAAAGCGUGGGGAGCAAACAGGAUUAGAUACCCCCGUAGUCCCUGUCUCUUAUACA